AUAAAAAUGCAGCCUUCUAGAAGAAAGAGCACUUUUUUCAAAGGGAGGAAGACCACAGCUCUGCCAUGGGGAAAGACAGCAACCUCUGUGCAGCAUGUUCCAACCUGGAGUAAAACGUUUUCUGAGCAACAUCACAGGCAAAAAGACAAGAUCCUGAAGACUUGAUGAUGAUGUUGACUUACUUCUUCUCUAACUGUCCAAUUAGUUAUGAUGCUACAAAGGGAGAUAUUAGUGCCAUAUGGAAUGCAAGAUGCUGAAGACACCAAGCUUUUUCUCCCUCUCCUGAAGAACAGGAAUCAACGUCCGAGUAAGAAGAUAUCAAGCAAAAUCGAAGUUGCUCACGAUAAAAUAUAAGAGCCCAGGCUACUGCACUGACAAAGAAAAUUGCAUUUUUAGUUUUUGUUUGCUUGGAAAGCAGCUUGCCUGAAGCUGAAUUCAUCACUAUUCCACUUAUCUCCGAGUCAGCAAGGGACAGUUUUACAAAUCUCUAACAUAAGGCAUGAAAUAGAAUUCAACAGCAGCACUGAUUUUCUUCUUUGUAAUUGGUUCUGGCCAAAUGAAUGGAGGCUGAUGGACUGCAAACACAAGCAGCACAUUUUGGAGUGUUUUCUUGAAAUGUUAACUUUAUUAAAAUCAGUCACCCUGUGAGAAAAACUGUAAUCUCACAGAGAAUCAACUCUCCCUGAUUUAUUAUCUUUCCUUGUACAUGCUUCAAAAUACAACCUUGGGGUGAAACACUCUGAAAGCUGAUUGCUUUUA
Long non-coding RNA from Serinus canaria (Common canary), 759 nucleotides. RefSeq lists it as uncharacterized. The transcript is spliced from 4 exons. Lineage: Eukaryota; Metazoa; Chordata; Aves; Passeriformes; Fringillidae. The record is from RefSeq and is a predicted model, not a curated record.